Molecule: ribosomal RNA, 439 nt
Filed under: uncultured Fusibacter sp.
Lineage: Bacteria; Bacillati; Bacillota; Clostridia; Eubacteriales; Fusibacteraceae
Description: bacterial SSU rRNA
Rfam family: Bacterial small subunit ribosomal RNA
Source: RNAcentral
CGAUGCAACGCGAAGAACCUUAACCUGGUCUUGACAUCCCGGAGACCCUUAGGAAACUAGGGGGUGCUUCCAUCUGGAAGAAUCUGGAGACAGGUGCUGCAUGGCUGUCGUCAGCUCGUGUCGUGAGAUGUUGGGUUAAGUCCCGCAACGAGCGCAACCCUUGUGUUUUAGUUGCAAACAGGUCAAGCUGUGCACUCUAGACAGACUGCCGUGGACAACACGGAGGAAGGUGGGGAUGACGUCAAAUCAUCAUGCCCCUUAUGAUCUGGGCUACACACGUGCUACAAUGGCCGGUACAACGGGCAGCGAAGGAGCGAUCCGGAGCGAAUCCUAAAAAGCCGGUCCCAGUUCGGAUUGCAGGCUGAAACUCGCCUACAUGAAGUUGGAGUUGCUAGUAAUCGCGAAUCAGAAUGUCGCGGUGAAUGCGUUCCCGGGUCUU